CCUACGGGAGGCAGCAGUGGGGAAUAUUGGACAAUGGGCGAAAGCCUGAUCCAGCCAUGCCGCGUGAGUGAUGAAGGCCUUAGUGUUGUAAAGCUCUUUUGCCCGGGAAGAUAAUGACGGUACCGGGAGAAUAAGCCCCGGCUAACUUCGUGCCAGCAGCCGCGGGUAAU
Molecule: ribosomal RNA, 170 nt
Filed under: uncultured bacterium
Lineage: Bacteria
Description: partial 16S ribosomal RNA
Rfam family: Bacterial small subunit ribosomal RNA
Source: RNAcentral